AUGAGAGUCGGAGGCAGACCCGGACCAGCAAGGAUGAAGACCUCUCCUCCGGCUUACCCGAAGCAUCAAGGAAGCGCCGGACCGAGGUUAUCUCCGACUUAUAUCCUUUUCAUCCUUUGGCUGGCGUCACUCGUCAACCACUCAAUUCUUCCGAUUCAAACUAUCAGGGAACUUCACCUUCCUCCGGCGACUCCAUGCAGUCUAGCUUGCCGGCUUUCAAACCCGCACCUGGGUAAUGAUGAUCAGCUUAUUUUGUGCUUAUCUUACUCAUGUUUUUGCACUAACCCUUCGACUUUCAGUGUACAAGUAAAGCCCAGCAAGAGGGCGAAGAAAAAUAAACCGGCCGAAGAGCCGGUCCUGACUGAACCUGAUGCUUCUGCUCAUGAGCCGCCGUCUGCACCAGCUCCUGAAACCACCACUGCUCCAUCUGAUGAACAAGUUAUGGAAGGUUCUGAUAACCCGGAGAUCCCCAGCCCGGCUCAUCCAGAUGAUCCGGACGUUGUAAUUACCCGGACCGAGUUUGUUGAACCGGGAAGACCCACCGUGUUGGCUACGUGCUCUGCCAAGGAAGAACUUCUGGAACGCCGCAGGGCCAGACUGGACAUCACUGAUUAUGCUAAUCUGAGCAUUGGAGAUAUUGUCUCUGGCUAUAUUAAUCAAGUGCACAACAGCCGGGACCUGGAAACUAAUAUGGUGAAGCAAAUACAGCAAAAGUCUGAGGCCGCCUGUAAGAAAUUUGAAUCGGAAAUCUCUGAUCUAAAGAACCGCCUGAAGACUCAGGAAAGUGAAACCCAAAAGGCCAACUCCAAAUUUGAAUUCAGUGUAUCUACACAAGAGAAACUGAAGAAAAAGUUUGAAGCAGAAAGAAAAGCCUGGGCGGAUGAAAAAACUGCUUUGCUCAGCCGGCCGAACAAGCGGAAGCCACUCUUACUGAAAGAACCGCCGAGCUAUCCGGAUUAA
This 960-nucleotide ribosomal RNA is filed under the name Triticum aestivum (bread wheat). RNAcentral's name for it is "partial small subunit ribosomal RNA". Lineage: Eukaryota; Viridiplantae; Streptophyta; Magnoliopsida; Poales; Poaceae. The record is from RNAcentral.